Molecule: transfer RNA, 63 nt
Filed under: Cavia porcellus (domestic guinea pig)
Lineage: Eukaryota; Metazoa; Chordata; Mammalia; Rodentia; Caviidae
Rfam family: tRNA
About the family: Transfer RNA (tRNA) molecules are approximately 80 nucleotides in length. Their secondary structure includes four short double-helical elements and three loops (D, anti-codon, and T loops).
Source: Rfam by way of RNAcentral
GGGGAUUUAGCUCAGCGGCAUAAGCACCUGCCUUGCAAGCUGGUGGUAUGACUUCAAUCCCCA